AGAGUUUGAUCCUGGCUCAGGACGAACGCUGGCGGCGUGCUUAACACAUGCAAGUCGAACGGAAAGGCCCUUCGGGGUACUCGAGUGGCGAACGGGUGAGUAACACGUGGGUGAUCUGCCCUGCACUUUGGGAUAAGCCUGGGAAACUGGGUCUAAUACCGAAUAUGACCAUGCACUUCCUGGUGUGUGGUGGAAAGCUUUUGCGGUGUGGGAUGGGCCCGCGGCCUAUCAGCUUGUUGGUGGGGUAAUGGCCUACCAAGGCGACGACGGGUAGCCGGCCUGAGAGGGUGACCGGCCACACUGGGACUGAGAUACGGCCCAGACUCCUACGGGAGGCAGCGGUGGGGAAUAUUGCACAAUGGGCGCAAGCCUGAUGCAGCGACGCCGCGUGAGGGAUGACGGCCUUCGGGUUGUAAACCUCUUUCAGCACAGACGAAGCGCAAGUGACGGUAUGUGCAGAAGAAGGACCGGCCAACUACGUGCCAGCAGCCGCGGUAAUACGUAGGGUCCGAGCGUUGUCCGGAAUUACUGGGCGUAAAGAGCUCGUAGGUGGUUUGUCGCGUUGUUCGUGAAAACUCACAGCUUAACUGUGGGCGUGCGGGCGAUACGGGCAGACUUGAGUACUGCAGGGGAGACUGGAAUUCCUGGUGUAGCGGUGGAAUGCGCAGAUAUCAGGAGGAACACCGGUGGCGAAGGCGGGUCUCUGGGCAGUAACUGACGCUGAGGAGCGAAAGCGUGGGGAGCGAACAGGAUUAGAUACCCUGGUAGUCC
This 771-nucleotide ribosomal RNA is filed under the name uncultured bacterium. Its description in RNAcentral is "bacterial SSU rRNA". It matches the Rfam family "Bacterial small subunit ribosomal RNA", at positions 8 to 796 of the family's 1533-position model. The record is from RNAcentral.